GUGCCAGCCGCCGCGGUAAUACGAAGGGGACUAGCGUUGUUCGGAUUUACUGGGCGUAAAGCGCGCGUAGGCGGAUCACUAAGUCAGGGGUGAAAUCCCGAGGCUUAACCUCGGAACUGCCUUUGAUACUGGAGAUCUGGAGAUCGGGAGAGGUUGGUGGAAUUCCGAGUGUAGAGGUGAAAUUCGUAGAUAUUCGGAGGAACACCAGAAGCGAAGGCGGCCAACUGGCCCGAUACUGACGCUGAGGCGCGAAAGCGUGGGGAGCAAACAGGAUUAGAUACCCUAGUAGUCC
This 292-nucleotide ribosomal RNA is filed under the name uncultured bacterium. Its description in RNAcentral is "partial 16S ribosomal RNA". It matches the Rfam family "Bacterial small subunit ribosomal RNA", at positions 505 to 796 of the family's 1533-position model. The record is from RNAcentral.